This 829-nucleotide ribosomal RNA is filed under the name uncultured archaeon. RNAcentral describes it as "bacterial SSU rRNA". It matches the Rfam family "Archaeal small subunit ribosomal RNA", at positions 27 to 873 of the family's 1478-position model. The record is from RNAcentral.
CGGCGUAAUGGGAUGAUCUACGCCAUGCGAGUCAUUGUAGUAAUACAAGGCAGACGGCUCAGUAACGCGUACUCUCCUAACCUAUGGACGGGAAUAACCUCGGGAAACUGAGUAUAAUGCCCGAUAGAACAUUAUGCCUGGAAUGGUUUAUGUUCCAAAUGAUUUAUCGCCGUAGGAUGGGACUGCCGCCUAUCAGUUUGUUGGUGAGGUAAUGGCCCACCAAGACUAUUACAGGUACGGGCUCUGAGAGGAGUGGCCCGGAGAUGGGUACUGAGACACGGACCCAGGCCCUAUGGGGCGCAGCAGGCGAGAAAACUUUGCAAUGUGCGAAAGCACGACAAGGUUAAUCCGAGUGGUUUCUGCUAAAGGAACCUUUUGUCGGUCCUAGAAACACCGAUGAAUAACGGGUGGGUCAGUUCUGGUGUCAGCCGCCGCGGUAAAACCAGCACCUCAAGUGGUCAGGAUGAUUAUUGGGCCUAAAGCAUCCGUAGCCGGCUUUGUUAGUUUUCGGUUAUAUCUGUACGCUUAACGUACAGGCUGCCGGGAAUACUGCAGAGCUAGGGAGUGGGAGAGGUAGACCGUACUCGGUAGGAAAGGGUAAAAUCCCUUGAUCUAUUGAUGACCCCCUGUGGGGAGGCGGUCUACCAGAACACGCCGACGGUGAGGGAUGAAGCUGGGGGAGCAACCCGAUUAGAUACCCGGGUAGUCCCAGCUGUAACUAUGCAACUCACUGAUGCAUUGGCUUGUGGCCAUGCAGUGCUGCAGGAAGCCGUUUAGUUUGCCGCCUGGAAGUACGUACGCAAGUAUGAACUCAAAUGAAUUGACGGAU